Long non-coding RNA from Asparagus officinalis (garden asparagus), 788 nucleotides. RefSeq lists it as uncharacterized. NCBI's taxonomy places the organism in Eukaryota, Viridiplantae, Streptophyta, Magnoliopsida, Asparagales, Asparagaceae. The transcript has 3 exons. The record is from RefSeq and is a predicted model, not a curated record.
GUCCCUGUUUGGUUUAGUCACCAGAUACAUGUGCUGAAACCAGAUUACCAAGAGCUGCAUGAUAUCUACAUCAAACGCUUGGUCGAUGAAGGGUGUACUAACCUCUUAGUUCCCAUUGUCCAGGGCGAUCAUUGGCAUCUUCUGGAGUUUGAUGUCGAAAAUGAUAUUGCCAGGCAUUACGACUCCUUGAAGGAGAGAUCUGGACAUUGGGACCUUGUGCUCGAUAUCGUCAAAGCUUUCAACUACAUUAAAGCUGGCUUCAAUGAGAACUAAUUGCGCAGCGUAUUCGACCCAAUCAAAGUUCCAUGCGAGGAGCAAAAGGGAUCGUAUGACUGUGGGAUCUAUGUCUACCAGUUCGUACAAGCGAUUACCGAAGGUAGAGAUGUCCUGCACGUCACGCCCGAAGAGCAUAACACAUGGGUGGUUCGUGCGAAGCUAGCAGCGUACUUACUGAUUGAAGGCAGGAAGAGGAAAAAAGAGGUGGGAAAACUUGACGAUGAUGACGUUGAGAUGUAGAUUUUUUGUAAAUGAUAUAUUACAUUUCUUUGGUGUUACUAACAAUAUACAUGUAAAUAUUAAAAGGUAAAUAUAAACAAUAUAAGGUUGAUCUGUGAAUGAUAUAUUACAAUUCUUUGUUGUUAAUAGCAAUGUACAAGUAACUAUUAUAAGGUUGAUAUCAAGGGAUAACAUUAACAGCAAACCCAUGAGUUCAACAACAAAACCGUAACCUCAACAACAAACAGCAAAGCUUAACAACAUCGCAAGAUUCUGCUAACUUGUGCUUCAAA